This 460-nucleotide ribosomal RNA is filed under the name uncultured bacterium. RNAcentral's name for it is "partial 16S ribosomal RNA". It matches the Rfam family "Bacterial small subunit ribosomal RNA", at positions 338 to 795 of the family's 1533-position model. The record is from RNAcentral.
CCUACGAGAGGCAGCAGUGAGGAAUAUUGGUCAAUGGACGAGAAUCUGAACCAGCCAAGUAGCGUGAAGGAUGACUGCCCUAUGGGUUGUAAACUUCUUUUAUAAAGGAAUAAAACGAGGCACGUGUGCCUUUUUGCAUGUCCUCUAUGAAUAAGUCUCGGCUAACUCCGUGCCAGCAGCCCCGGUAAUACGGAGGAUCCGAGCGUUAUCAGGUUUUAUUGGGUUUAAAUGGGGCGUAGAGGGGUCGUUAAGUCAGUUGUGAAAGUUUGCGGCUCAACCGGAAAAGUGCAAUUGAAACGGGCUGUCUUGAGUGCAGGUGAGGUAGGCGGAAUUCGUGGUGUAGCGGUGAAAUGCUUAGAUAUAACGAAGAACCCCGAUUGCGAAGGCAGCUUACUAAACUGUGACUGACAUUGAGGCUCGAAAGUGUGGGUAUCAAACAGGAUUAGAUACCCUAGUAGUC